UGCAGUCCACCCGACCACCCUGACAGGAGCAAGGGUCGGGGCACGCCAAUGACCUGUGACCUCCGAGUAAGAAAAGACACAGGAGCAGACGUCCUCUGGAGACGAAUUUCCUUCUUCUGGCUGAUUUUUAGAAGAAAAAUGUGGCGAGUGUGACAGCUGGCUCACACUGAUAAACACUGCUGUCAAUACUGCAACAGGAACGUUGGUGCAGACACUCUAUAUUAUAUCCAUGCAUCCUCUGCCAUACGGGAUGACGACGCUGUGAGCAGAGGAAGGAAAAAUGUCUGCAGGAGAUAAACAUGAAUCAGCAGAUCAUGUUCCUGCAGAAGCUUCGUCUUCCAGCCCAGCUGAUGUGUGGAAAUGAUGAAGGACACAGUGAUGUGCUCACUGGACUCACACUCUAAAAAUAAAACAACAAUGAGUCAGAAAAAACAACAGCCUGACAAGAAGAGGAGUUUAUUUAUCACACCUUUGCAAAAUGGGACACAAAGACUGAGCUCACAGCCUUCAGGGCUGUACAGGUCAUCAGCAGCAGUAAAGUCAACACACACACACACAUGCGCACACACACACACAGUCACCUGCACACACACUGCAGCCUUAGCUCACAUGGAUUUUUCACUACGUUAAGUGAACAACGAUAAGUUUAAAACAGAAGCACAGACGUGGUAUUGGCUCCUCAUCACUUAUUUCCCAUAAUGCCGUGGUGAUGACGCAAACAGCACGCUGGAGGCAUUAAAUACAAGCACAAGGAAUUGGAUAAAAAGCAGUAAAAAAUAGGCCCAAAGCUUCCAGGAGAUAUGAGUAAUGACAGCAUGCGCACACAUGCACUCUUUAAUGCACAAACCCUUGGUUUAGCUGUUAGCAGUGAGCGCAUUUUAAGCCCAGACUUCAUGUUAAAAAACCUGGAAAAAGAUGUUUACACUGACCUUCAUUACACUAAAUGUUAAUGAAGAAAUUCACAGCAAAUGUUUAAUUUCAAUGAAUUGGAACUUCUUCAAACGGGGAAAAUAGGGGAAAAUGGACAGAAACCUGGAGUUGAAGAAAUAUGAUACACUCGCAUAUCCAA
Poecilia reticulata (guppy) is the source of this 1069-nucleotide non-coding RNA. The record is from RefSeq and is a predicted model, not a curated record. Lineage: Eukaryota; Metazoa; Chordata; Actinopteri; Cyprinodontiformes; Poeciliidae.